GAGGCUUCCAGUGCGGUAACGCGACCGAUCCUUGAGAAGCUGGCGGGAGCCCCGGGGAGAGUUCUCUUUUCUUUGUGAAGGGCAGGGCGCCCUGGAAUGGGUUCGCCCUGAGAGAGGGGCCCAAGCCCUGGAAAGCGUUGCAGUUUCGGCGGUGUCCAGUGAGCUCUCCCUGGCCCUUGAAAAUCCGGGGGAGAGGGUGUAAAUCUC
RNAcentral lists this non-coding RNA (207 nucleotides) under Salmo salar (Atlantic salmon). RNAcentral describes it as "Eukaryotic large subunit ribosomal RNA". It matches the Rfam family "Eukaryotic large subunit ribosomal RNA", at positions 1631 to 1835 of the family's 3401-position model. Lineage: Eukaryota; Metazoa; Chordata; Actinopteri; Salmoniformes; Salmonidae. The record is from Rfam by way of RNAcentral.